Molecule: ribosomal RNA, 497 nt
Filed under: uncultured bacterium
Lineage: Bacteria
Description: partial 16S ribosomal RNA
Rfam family: Bacterial small subunit ribosomal RNA
Source: RNAcentral
GAUGAACGCUGGCGGCGUGCCUAAUACAUGCAAGUCGAGCGAACGGACGAGAAGCUUGCUUCUCUGAUGUUAGCGGCGGGCGGGUGAGUAACACGUGGAUAACCUACCUAUAAGACUGGGAUAACUUCGGGAAACCGGAGCUAAUACCGGAUGAUAUUUUGAACCGCAUGGUUCAAAAGUGAAAGACGGUCUUGCUGUCACUUAUAGAUGGAUCCGCGCUGCAUUAGCUAGUUGGUAAGGUAACGGCUUACCAAGGCAACGAUGCAUAGCCGACCUGAGAGGGUGAUCGGCCACACGGGAACUGAGACACGGUCCAGACUCCUACGGGAGGCAGCAGUAGGGAAUCUUCCGCAAUGGGCGAAAGCCUGACGGAGCAACGCCGCGUGAGUGAUGAAGGUCUUCGGAUCGUAAAACUCUGUUAUUAGGGAAGAACAUAUGUGUAAGUAACUGUGCACAUCUUGACGGUACCUAAUCAGAAAGCCACGGCUAACUACGUG